RNAcentral lists this unclassified non-coding RNA (336 nucleotides) under soil metagenome. RNAcentral describes it as "partial contains 5.8S ribosomal RNA, internal transcribed spacer 2, and large subunit ribosomal RNA". The stretch from base 1 to 120 matches the Rfam family "5.8S ribosomal RNA", at positions 35 to 154 of the family's 154-position model. The record is from RNAcentral.
GAUGAAGAACGUAGCGAAAUGCGAUACGUAAUGUGAAUUGCAGAAUUCAGUGAAUCAUCGAGUCUUUGAACGCACAUUGCGCCCCCUGGUAUUCUGGCGGGCAUGCCUGUUCGAGCGUCAUUUCAACCAUCAAGCCCCCGGCUUGUGUUGGGGACCUGCGGCUGCCGCAGGCCCUGAAAAGCAGUGGCGGGCUCGCUGUCACACCGAGCGUAGUAGCAUACAUCUCGCUCUGGGCGUGCUGCGGGUUCCGGCCGUUAAACCACCUUCAUAACCCAAGGUUGACCUCGGAUCAGGUAGGAAGACCCGCUGAACUUAAGCAUAUCAAUAAGCGGAGGA